CUCAUCUCAUCUCAUGUCAUCUUAUCUUCUGGACUGAAACGAGAGAACGCUGUAAUGUAACUCUACAGGACUAAUGUUCAGCUCUAGUUUGGAGCCCUCCUCCAUCUGUUCACAUGUUAACUUUCUCUCCCUGUCUGUCUCCCUGUCUCUCUCUCCCUCCCUGUCUCUCUCUCUCACCCUGUCUGUCUCUCUCUCCCUGUCUGUCUGUCUUCAGGAAUCAGGUCUGAUCAUCAGCCCGGCCACCAUGGUGUGAUGAUCUUCUGGACUCGACUGUCCGAGUGCUUCCUGCUGCAGUAUGGAGCUCCCAGACUGUCCCCCGUUAGCUUUAGGUUUUCUGUCUGAUUUCUGAAGUAGUAUUUAUGUUAGUUGCAGGUCUGGUAGUCUGGGUGUAAAUAAAGCUGUUGAGUUGAUCUGCUGUUUUCUGUCUGGUGUCUCUGAGGACAGACCCCAGUCUGUUGUCUCUCUGAGGACAGGUCCCAGUCUGGUGUCUCUCUGAGGACAGGUCCCAGUCUGUUGUCUCUCUGAGGACAGACCCCAGUCUGGUGUCUCUGAGGACAGGCCCCAGUCUGGUGUCUCUGAGGACAGGUCCCAGUCUGGUGUCUCUGAGGACAGGUCCCAGUCUGUUGUCUCUCUGAGGACAGGUCCCAGUCUGGUGUCUCUGAGGACAGGCCCCAGUCUGGUGUCUCUGAGGACAGGCCCCAGUCUGGUGUCUCUGAGGACAGGUCCCAGUCUGGUGUCUCUGAGGACAGACCCCAGUCUGGUGUCUCUGAGGACAGGUCCCAGUCUGGUGUCUCUGAGGACAGACCCCAGUCUGGUGUCUCUGAGGACAGGUCCCAGUCUGGUGUCUCUGAGGACAGACCCCAGUCUGGUGUCUCUGAGGACAGACCCCAGUCUGACUGUACAUCUGUGUAUAUAAAGUCUCAUUUUGUUACUGAAAAAUAAACAUGAGUUUGUUCCAAA
Molecule: long non-coding RNA, 960 nt
Organism: Perca flavescens (yellow perch)
Lineage: Eukaryota; Metazoa; Chordata; Actinopteri; Perciformes; Percidae
Exons: 2
Source: RefSeq, a predicted model, not a curated record